AAAGAUAAAAAUCUUCGAGUUUGAUAGUCUACGGCGAUGAACGCUAUGAUGAUCAGGCCUAAGGGUUCAUUGGGAAACGAAUGAGCCUUCCAUUGUGAAAAGAAGAUGUUGAGGUCGGACA
Molecule: non-coding RNA, 121 nt
Filed under: Syntrophomonas zehnderi
Lineage: Bacteria; Bacillati; Bacillota; Clostridia; Eubacteriales; Syntrophomonadaceae
Also listed under: 1 other name
Description: MoCo sequence
Rfam family: Molybdenum/Tungsten riboswitch aptamer (Moco RNA motif)
Source: RNAcentral